RNAcentral lists this ribosomal RNA (553 nucleotides) under uncultured archaeon. Its description in RNAcentral is "bacterial SSU rRNA". It matches the Rfam family "Archaeal small subunit ribosomal RNA", at positions 326 to 879 of the family's 1478-position model. The record is from RNAcentral.
CGGGGUGCACCAGGCGCGAAAACUUUACAAUGCGGGAAACCGUGAUAAGGGGACACCGAGUGCCAGCAUCAUAUGCUGGCUGUCCGGGUGUGUAAAAUACACCCGUUAGCAAGGGCCGGGCAAGACCGGUGCCAGCCGCCGCGGUAACACCGGCGGCCCGAGUGGUGAUCGUGAUUAUUGGGUCUAAAGGGUCCGUAGCCGGUUUGGUCAGUCCUCCGGGAAAUCUGAUAGCUCAACUAUUAGGCUUUCGGGGGAUACUGCCAGGCUUGGAACCGGGAGAGGUAAGAGGUACUACAGGGGUAGGAGUGAAAUCUUGUAAUCCCUGUGGGACCACCUGUGGCGAAGGCGUCUUACCAGAACGGGUUCGACGGUGAGGGACGAAAGCUGGGGGCACGAACCGGAUUAGAUACCCGGGUAGUCCCAGCCGUAAACGAUGCUCGCUAGGUGUCAGGCAUGGCGCGACCGUGUCUGGUGCCGCAGGGAAGCCGUGAAGCGAGCCACCUGGGAAGUACGGCCGCAAGGCUGAAACUUAAAGGAAUUGGCGGGGGAGCAC